Molecule: ribosomal RNA, 262 nt
Filed under: Paralicella caperesca
Lineage: Eukaryota; Metazoa; Arthropoda; Malacostraca; Amphipoda; Lysianassidae
Description: partial large subunit ribosomal RNA
Rfam family: Bacterial large subunit ribosomal RNA (bases 127-262)
Source: RNAcentral
UUAUUAAAUUUUAAAAUUAAAAUAUAAUUAACUGGGGUAGUUAUUUUAGUUAAAUUAAUAUGAAUUUAAACAAAUUAAUGGUAAUUGUUCCUUUAUAUAAGGGAAUAUAUAAAUAGUUACUUUAGGGAUAACAGCAUAAUAUUUUUGGAGAGAUCUUAUUGAUAGAAAUGAUUGUGACCUCGAUGUUGAAUUAAAAAAACUUUAUAAAGCAGCAUAUAUAUAUAGUAGGUUUGUUCAACCUUUAAAAUUUUACAUGAUCUGA